UAGGGAAUAUUAGUAAUGGGCGAAAGCCUGAACUAGCAACACCGCGUGUGCGAAGAAGGCCUUCGGGUUGUAAAGCACUUUUUGAGAGGAUGAGGAAGGACGGUACUCUCAGAAUAAGUCUCGGCUAACUACGUGCCAGCAGCCGCGGUAACACGUAGGAGGCGAACGUUAUCCGGAAUUAUUGGGCGUAAAGCGCGUGUAGGUGGUUUGGUAAGUAGAGCGUGAAAGCUCCUGGCUAAACUGGGGGAGGUCGUUCUAAACUGCCAGACUAGAGGAUGGUAGAGGGAGGUGGAAUUCCGGGUGUAGCGGUGGAAUGCGCAGAUAUCCGGAGGAACACCAGUGGCGAAAGCGGCCUCCUGGACCACUCCUGACACUCAGACGCGAAAGCUAGGGUAGCAAACG
RNAcentral lists this ribosomal RNA (402 nucleotides) under uncultured prokaryote. Its description in RNAcentral is "bacterial SSU rRNA". It matches the Rfam family "Bacterial small subunit ribosomal RNA", at positions 355 to 774 of the family's 1533-position model. The record is from RNAcentral.